RNAcentral lists this ribosomal RNA (468 nucleotides) under uncultured bacterium. Its description in RNAcentral is "partial 16S ribosomal RNA". It matches the Rfam family "Bacterial small subunit ribosomal RNA", at positions 28 to 507 of the family's 1533-position model. The record is from RNAcentral.
GACGAACGCUGGCGGCGUGCUUAACACAUGCAAGUCGAACGGAAAGGCCCUGCUUUUGUGGGGUGCUCGAGUGGCGAACGGGUGAGUAACACGUGAGUAACCUGCCCUUGACUUUGGGAUAACUUCAGGAAACUGGGGCUAAUACCGGAUAGGAGCUCCUGCUGCAUGGUGGGGGUUGGAAAGUUUCGGCGGUUGGGGAUGGACUCGCGGCUUAUCAGCUUGUUGGUGGGGUAGUGGCUUACCAAGGCUUUGACGGGUAGCCGGCCUGAGAGGGUGACCGGGCACAUUGGGACUGAGAUACGGCCCAGACUCCUACGGGAGGCAGCAGUGGGGAAUAUUGCAGAAUGGGCGGAAGCCUGAUGCAGCAACGCCGCGUGCGGGAUGACGGGCUUCGGGUUGUAAACCGCUUUGGCCUGUGACGAAGCGUGAGUGACGGUAAUGGGUAAAGAAGCACCGGCUAACUACGUG